This 423-nucleotide ribosomal RNA is filed under the name Triticum aestivum (bread wheat). RNAcentral describes it as "partial small subunit ribosomal RNA". The record is from RNAcentral. Lineage: Eukaryota; Viridiplantae; Streptophyta; Magnoliopsida; Poales; Poaceae.
AUGACUAACCCUACUAAUAGCCUUCAUGAGUCUUGUGAUGAUGCAGGAAAAAGCAGUGAAAAAAUCAUAGCAAAUGGUGAAGAAAAUAGUGCAGCGGAUUCAUAUUUCAUGUGUCCUGGACUGGGGAGCAAAUCCCCCUCGGGAUCUGGUCAGGAGCUGCCGUGCAGCGAAUCCGCCUCGGGGUCGGUGCCCUGCAGCGAAUCUGCUGCGACAGCCCCGACAGGCGCAGGCGCGCGUGCGACUGGCCGCGGCGACUCCCCUCGCGCGCGCCAAUCGCCGUCCAACAGAUGGCAGGUCGGCGCUGGCCUGGGCCGCGCGCGGCUUGAGGCCCAACCGAUCGUCUACAAGUGGCGGGCAGCGACUCGCCUGAUGGAAGCGGGGACAGACCCUUCCUCCUUGGGAUCGGGGGGAGGAUCAGCUUGA